This 497-nucleotide ribosomal RNA is filed under the name uncultured bacterium. Its description in RNAcentral is "partial 16S ribosomal RNA". It matches the Rfam family "Bacterial small subunit ribosomal RNA", at positions 28 to 507 of the family's 1533-position model. The record is from RNAcentral.
GAUGAACGCUGGCGGCGUGCCUAAUACAUGCAAGUCGAGCGAACGGACGAGAAGCUUACUUCUCUGAUGUUAGCGGCGGACGGGUGAGUAACACGUGGAUAACCUACCUAUAAGACUGGGAUAACUUCGGGAAACCGGAGCUAAUACCGGAUAAUAUUUUGAACCGCAUGGUUCAAAAGUGAAAGACGGUCUUGCUGUCACUUAUAGAUGGAUCCGCGCUGCAUUAGCUAGUUGGUAAGGUAACGGCUUACCAAGGCAACGAUGCAUAGCCGACCUGAGAGGGUGAUCGGUCACACUGGAACUGAGACACGGUCCAGACUCCUACGGGAGGCAGCAGUAGGGAAUCUUCCGCAAUGGGCGAAAGCCUGACGGAGCAACGCCGCGUGAGUGAUGAAGGUCUUCGGAUCGUAAAACUCUGUUAUUAGGGAAGAACAUAUGUGUAAGUAACUGUGCACAUCUUGACGGUACCUAAUCAGAAAGCCACGGCUAACUACGUG